Molecule: ribosomal RNA, 491 nt
Filed under: uncultured bacterium
Lineage: Bacteria
Description: partial 16S ribosomal RNA
Rfam family: Bacterial small subunit ribosomal RNA
Source: RNAcentral
AGUGAACGCUGGCGGUAGGCCUAACACAUGCAAGUCGAACGGCAGCACAGUAAGAGCUUGCUCUUACGGGUGGCGAGUGGCGGACGGGUGAGGAAUACAUCGGAAUCUACUUUUUCGUGGGGGAUAACGUAGGGAAACUUACGCUAAUACCGCAUACGACCUACGGGUGAAAGCAGGGGAUCUUCGGACCUUGCGCGAUUGAAUGAGCCGAUGUCGGAUUAGCUAGUUGGCGGGGUAAAGGCCCACCAAGGCGACGCUCCGUAGCUGGUCUGAGAGGAUGAUCAGCACAACGGGACCUGAGAACGGGUCCAGACUCCUACGGGAGGCAGCAGUGGGGAAUAUUGGACAAUGGGAGCAAGCCUGAUCAAGCCAGACCGGGUGGGUGAAGAGGGCCUUCGGGUUGUAAAGCCCUUUUGUUGGGAAAGAAAAGCAGCAGGUUAAUACCCCGCUGUUCUGACGGGACCAAAAGAAGAAGCACCGGCUAACUUCGU